AUGUGGUGGCGCGAGGUGGGGGUCGGCAAUGAGGCGGCUAUGCUGCAUGAGGCGGUCAAGUCCGAGGCUGCACUGGGGAGGCACGUGCGGUGCCUGCCCCAAGAUCCCGUUGGGGCAAGGCAUGGGCGGCACCCACCCUCCCUGUUAUUGCCCCGCGGGGUCAGGCUGCCCCUCUUCCCAGAGGUCAAUGCCGAUCAGUGUGCUUCUGGUUUCUACAGUAGCAGAGGCGACCAGGAGGGCACGUAUGGGGUGUGUACAUUGAAAGGACCACUACGAUCAUGCUCGAUUCGCUUCGAGCAAGACCAUGGCGUCAAUUCCAAUGCCAUCUGUGAGAUCUCCCUCUUCAAGGAUGCGCAACAUCCAAACAUGGUUAGUACUGCAACCCUCUUGUCUUCCUCUCCCUCCCUGCAUGGUGGUCGCUGUCAGCAUCAGCAUCAAGGUUUUGGGUGCCUUUCGUCCCUCUUGUAUGGAUGGAUAGGUUGGUGUGUUUUGUUCUUUCUUUCUUUGUUGCCACGUAGGUUGCAAGAGGAGGUGCGCACCUGCACAAUGAAAAGUGCAUAUGCCGACUCAUCCCGGAGACCAGAACUUCAAAUAUAUAGACACAUACACGUAGUCAAGGAAGAUGCUAACAAAAAAAUUGAUUUGAUUUUAUUUGGCUUGUUUAUCAAUUUUCUCUUACUAUUUCCUAACAUUUCCUCAGUUUGGCCCUGA
This 711-nucleotide ribosomal RNA is filed under the name Triticum aestivum (bread wheat). Its description in RNAcentral is "partial small subunit ribosomal RNA". The record is from RNAcentral. Lineage: Eukaryota; Viridiplantae; Streptophyta; Magnoliopsida; Poales; Poaceae.